AUACGUAGGGGGCAAGCGUUAUCCGGAAUUAUUGGGCGUAAAGCGUGCGUAGGCGGUUUAUUAAGUCUGAGGUUAAAGCGUGGGGCUCAACCCCAUAAAGCCUUGGAAACUGAUUGACUAGAGUACGGGAGAAGUGAAGGGAACUCCAUGUGUAGCGGUGAAAUGCGUAGAUAUAUGGAAGAACACCAGUGGCGAAGGCGCUUCACUAGCCCGAAACUGACGCUCAGUCACGAAAGCGUGGGUAGCAAAUAGGAUUAGAUACCCUAGUAGUCCACGCUGUAAACGAUGACAACUAAAUAUUGCCGCGAGGCAGUGUUGAAGCUAACGCAUUAAGUUGUCCGCCUGGGGAGUACGGUCGCAAGACUGAAACUUAAAUGAAUUGGCGGGG
This 388-nucleotide ribosomal RNA is filed under the name uncultured bacterium. RNAcentral's name for it is "partial 16S ribosomal RNA". It matches the Rfam family "Bacterial small subunit ribosomal RNA", at positions 523 to 918 of the family's 1533-position model. The record is from RNAcentral.